Molecule: ribosomal RNA, 434 nt
Filed under: uncultured bacterium
Lineage: Bacteria
Description: partial 16S ribosomal RNA
Rfam family: Bacterial small subunit ribosomal RNA
Source: RNAcentral
GAACGAACGCUGGCGGCAUGCCUAACCCAUGCAAGUCGAACGAGACCUUCGGGUCUAGUGGCGCACGGGUGCGUAACGCGUGGGAACCUGCCCUUAGGUUCGGAAUAACUCCCCGAAAGGGGUGCUAAUACCGGAUAAUGUCUUCGGACCAAAGAUUUAUCGCCUUUGGAUGGGCCCGCGUUGGAUUAGCUAGUUGGUAGGGUAAAAGCCUACCAAGGCGACGAUCCAUAGCUGGUCUGAGAGGAUGAUCAGCCACACUGGGACUGAGACACGGCCCAGACUCCUACGGGAGGCAGCAGUGGGGAAUAUUGGACAAUGGGCGAAAGCGUGAUCCAGCAAUGCCGCGUGAGUGAUGAAGGCCUUAGGGUUGUAAAGCUCUUUUACCCGGGAUGAUAAUGACAGUACCGGGAGAAUAAGCUCCGGCUAACUCCGUG